Molecule: ribosomal RNA, 119 nt
Filed under: Medicago truncatula (barrel medic)
Lineage: Eukaryota; Viridiplantae; Streptophyta; Magnoliopsida; Fabales; Fabaceae
Source: RNAcentral
AGGUGCGAUCAUACUAGCACUAAUGCACCAGAUCCCAUCAAAACUCCACAGUUAAGCGUGCUUGGGCGGGAGUAGUACUAGGAUGGAUGACCUCCUGGAAAGUCCUUGUGUUUAACCUC